RNAcentral lists this transfer RNA (69 nucleotides) under Chlamyphorus truncatus (Pink fairy armadillo). RNAcentral's name for it is "tRNA-Ala". It matches the Rfam family "tRNA". From Rfam's summary of the family: Transfer RNA (tRNA) molecules are approximately 80 nucleotides in length. Their secondary structure includes four short double-helical elements and three loops (D, anti-codon, and T loops). Lineage: Eukaryota; Metazoa; Chordata; Mammalia; Cingulata; Chlamyphoridae. The record is from RNAcentral.
GAGGAUUUAGCUUAACUAAAGUGUCUGGUUUGCGGUCAGAAGAUGUGAGAUGUGGUCUUGCAAUCCUUA